GCCUACGGGGGGCAGCAGUAGGGAAUCUUCCACAAUGGGCGAAAGCCUGAUGGAGCAACGCCGCGUGGGUGAAGAAGGUCUUCGGAUCGUAAAACCCUGUUGUUAGAGAAGAAAGUGCGUGAGAGUAACUGUUCACGUUUCGACGGUAUCUAACCAGAAAGCCACGGCUAACUACGUGCCAGCAGCCGCGGUAAUACGUAGGUGGCAAGCGUUAUCCGGAUUUAUUGGGCGUAAAGAGAACGCAGGCGGUCUUUUAAGUCUGAUGUGAAAGACUUUGGCUUAACCGGAUUAGUGCAUUGGAAACU
Molecule: ribosomal RNA, 305 nt
Filed under: uncultured bacterium
Lineage: Bacteria
Description: bacterial SSU rRNA
Rfam family: Bacterial small subunit ribosomal RNA
Source: RNAcentral